Emiliania huxleyi CCMP1516 is the source of this 111-nucleotide non-coding RNA. The record is from Rfam. NCBI's taxonomy places the organism in Eukaryota, Haptophyta, Isochrysidales, Noelaerhabdaceae.
UAUCGCGGUUACGUCAUACGUGCCCUUCUUUCGCCUUUUACUAAAGAAGGCCGUGGCGCAACUGCCUAACGACCUCUUACACUAUUUUGCUACCUAAAUUUCAGAGAGGAG